Molecule: long non-coding RNA, 1823 nt
Filed under: Agrilus planipennis (emerald ash borer)
Lineage: Eukaryota; Metazoa; Arthropoda; Insecta; Coleoptera; Buprestidae
Description: uncharacterized LOC112904015
Source: RNAcentral
UUAAUGUAAGUAUUUUGUAGGAGAGUGGGGGCUUUAGUCAAAAUAUUCAUUGAAUCGCCCUCAUAGUGAGGCUUAUCAAUUGAAAGCAAUAAUAAUUAAAAUGCAAACGUAAAUAAACAAACAUGUGCAGCAAUGUUGUAAACGACGGUACACGUGUUUUCGUGCAACGUUGCCUAGGUUACAUGCCUGGAGGUGCGCAAUGCACUUUUUUACUUAUUAUUAUUGCCUUAUCGGCUAAGUAGGCGAUGCGCGCGCCUGCGCACGCGACUGUAAACAAACAGCACACGUUGUCGCGGAUCGCGGCUUACCGGGACGGCGCGAUAGCGCAUUGGCCAGAACCGCGUACCGCCCAACGACCGCGACCACCUAAGAUGGCCGACCGCAACACAUAAUCUACGGCGCAAUUAGCAAAGCCAACUGCGCAGUUUCCAAAAAAUUAACCACAAAAUUCGAUUGUUUUAAACUGAUUUAAAAACCGCGUGGCAGUUUUUUAAUAGAGGCAACGAUGCGUCACAUUUUUUUUGUUAACGACAUUAGAUACAAAUUAUUCAAAGGCGCCGCUUUUUGUGUUAACAUUUAGCUCCAAAUUACAACGAAAAACGUGUUUGUAAUCGAAUUGAAGCUAAAACUGUGUCUAUGUUUUCCCAGUAUCGUAGAACGGGAUCUUCCAAAAUAGUUACAGAGUCCCGAAGGGAGAUACUGGAGUAUUACAUAUUUUUAUAAUUUAUUGUUUGUAAGUACUAAGAUAUACAAGGACCAAUUAGCUUACCUUCUUUAUCUUUCUUGUGUAGAGAAUUUAUAAAAAUCUAAACUAUAAGUUGGAAUUGUACAAAGUUUUCAAAACAAUAACCACCGUAAGAUUAGUGCACAAAAAACAACUCGUUGAAAGACAGGAAAAAAUCCAGACUAACAUUUUAUGUUUUUCUUUGUCUAUUUAUAGGUGCAGAGUUUUGGUCUUGGGAAAGGACCAAACAGAGAGCAACGCCCGAAAAAUCAAACACUGUUCAUACGAUAUGCGGACAUCCUGUGCGAAAGGGAAGUGUCACGUCAUCUAUAGAAAUAGAAACAUCUAUAGAGUGUAGAGAAUUAUAUGGAACUUCAUUCCACUAGAGAAAUCAAUGGAAUCAAUUUAAUGUAUGUAAUAAAAGGACGUAUGAAACAGUUUUAUCAAUGUAAUAAUAUGAAUCUAUGAAUUUUAUGCAUCUAUGGAUGCAUCUUCUUCAAUCUUGUCUGCAUCUUGUCCAUCUUGCCAUCUUGUAUUAAAUACGACGCUUCGUCUCCAUUUUAAAAUUUUGCAAUUUUACUUUUCCAUUGACGAUAAAUAAGAGUGGAAGAGUCUUUAAUUUGAUGCUAUUGAAAAAACAGGUUGUCUAUUAACUUUUCAUCUUGGAGGAUCUUAUAGUUAAUUACGGUGAGAAUACAUAAUAUGUAUGUAUAUUACAGCAUUGUUGAUAUUUAAUUUAACGUAAAUAAUAUUGAAUUGGUGUUUUGUUUCUCCAUCUGUGCUCUAUGGUACAGGUUUUCCUUCACAAUUUUUUUGAAUGUCUAUCGUUGAUGUAAUUGUAUGAAUCUAUGAAUUUUAUGCAUCUAUGAUGCAACUUCUCCGGUCUUGCCAAUUGAAUCAAAUUGAAUCUUGUCUUUGCCAUUUUGCAAUAAAUCCGACGCUUCGUCGCCAUUUUGGACCUGAGAAUGGGAAGCAACAUGAUAUUAAUUUGGAAUCUAGAACAAGAAAUUUCUUGACAAUUGUCUGCAUUGGGAUCCCUCCUAGAUUUGGUUUGCUCAUCACACUUGUAGACUUUUGAACGCUAUCGUCUGCAGUUAAU